UAUCGAAAGUUAGGSUAUAACCGCAUACGAUCUAUGGAUGAAAGCGGGGGAUCGCAAGACCUCGCGCGCUUGGAGCGGCCGAUAUCAGAUUAGGUAGUAGGUGGGGUAAAGGCUCACCAAGCCGACGAUCAGUAGCUGGUCUGAGAGGACGACCAGCCACACUGGGACUGAGACACGGCCCAGACUCCUACGGGAGGCAGCAGUGGGGAAUCUUGGACAAUGGGGGAAAGCCUGAUCCAGCCAUGCCGCGUGCAGGAUGAAGGCCUUCGGGUUGUAAAGUGCUUUUGUCCGGAACGAAAAGGUUUUGCCUAAUAAGCGGAGCUCAUGACGGUACCGUAAGAAUAAGCACCGGCUAACUACGUGCCAGCAGCCGCGGUAAUACGUAGGGUGCGAGCGUUAAUCGGAAUUACUGGGCGUAAAGCGUGCGCAGGCGGUUAUGUAAGUCAGAUGUGAAAUCCCCGGGCUCAACCUGGGAACUGCAUUAGAGACUGCAUAGCUUGAGUGGGGCAGAGGGGGAUGGAAUUCCGCGUGUAGCAGUGAAAUGCGUAGAUAUGCGGAGGAACACCGAUGGCGAAGGCAAUCCCCUGGCCGUACUGACGCUCAUGC
This 606-nucleotide ribosomal RNA is filed under the name bacterium ER-Se-18. RNAcentral's name for it is "bacterial SSU rRNA". It matches the Rfam family "Bacterial small subunit ribosomal RNA", at positions 149 to 752 of the family's 1533-position model. The record is from RNAcentral.